Molecule: long non-coding RNA, 304 nt
Filed under: Vigna radiata
Lineage: Eukaryota; Viridiplantae; Streptophyta; Magnoliopsida; Fabales; Fabaceae
Description: long non-coding RNA (VRAD_LNC016761)
Source: RNAcentral
UUGCUUAUAAGAAAAUUUAUCAUAGCAGAACAUAAAUAGGUUCUGAUCGGCUUCGUGAAAGAUCCAGUAUAAAGAAGCUUUUCUCACCAUUUUCUUACCAUGGAUAAAUUUGUUACCAUUUUCUUUGUAGCUUCUCUUUCACUUGAUUUCCAUUAUUCUCUCCCACCACCUUCAAUUCUGUUGUCUAUUUCAUUUUAUGCAGUCUUCACACCAUCUAAAGAGGCCACAACAAUUCACUACACUUUUGGGACCCCUUCUAGGAGUAAAAUUCAUACAAGUGAAGAUGCAUAAGGGUUGUGAUGGC